GGCCUUGGGGACUCCAAGGGGCCACUUUACUCCCCAAAAUAGGACAGUUUCUCCCCAAAAUAUAAAAUUUAUCGUGGUCCGCGGUCUCUGCUGCCACCGUGUGGCAAAUGUGCGGAACUGCACGCAUGGUGGUGUGCCGAAAACACCGCAUGCGUAAUGCUGUGAAGAGAAAAGCGCAUGCGUACAGGUGUGCCAAGAAAGGCGCAUGCGUAGCGUUGUGUCGAUGCAAAUGCAUGCGUAGGGCUGUGUUCCGACUGGCGGCCGGUGUGGAGGCGUGCCAGGAAUGGUGCACGCUGUGUCGGACUUGGCACGUGCGUAGUGUUUGCCGGAUCUGAUGGAUGCGUACUGCUUUGUCAACAACAGUACUUGCUUUGUAUUUUGGGUGCGGGCUUUUGUGCUGUUUUGGGGCAGUCUGGGGGUCCACGCAGCUUACAUCGAGGCACGGUGCAAUGAGUCAUACUGCUCAGGGUCUGAAUUUGGGGCGUUUGGGCUUUUUGUUGUCAUAGCAGGGAUCCAUCUGGGCCCUAGAUUUGGAGACAGGUUUGGGGCCAGGUGAUGAGGAUGGUCAAGCAUGACCUACCUUUCAUGAACCCGUGCUGACUAGGCCUGAUCUCCUGGACACUGCGCACAUGCCGUGCAAUCUCAUCCAAGAUGAUGUGCUCCAUAACCUUCCCUGGUACCAAGGUCAGGCUAACAGGCAUAUAGUUCCCCGGAUCCUCCUUACGGCCCUUCUUGAAGAUGGGAGUCACAUCAGCAAGCCUCCAAUCCUCUGGGACAUCACCAGUUAACCAGGAGCACUGAUAGAUCGCCGAGAGGGGCUCAGCAAUCACCCCCGCCAGCUCCCUCAGCACCUGAUGGUGCAGCCCAUCCAGUCCCAUGGACUUGUGACAGUCCAGACGGAGGAGAAGCUCUCUGACUAUCUCCACCAGAAUCGCUGGGGACAUAUUCUGAACAGCGUCCCAAACUUCCAGAUCGGGGCAUAAAAAACCCAGAGGAUAACUAGCCUGGCUAUUAAAGGCAGAUGUAAAGAAGGCAUUGAGGCCCUCAGCCCUCUCCUUGUCCUCAGUGACCACAUUCCCUGCUGCAUCAAGUAUAGGAUGAUAAUUAUCUUUGGUUCUUCUUCUGCCGUUGAUAUAUUUAUAAAAGGAUUUUCUUAUUGUCUUUUACUGCAGAGGCCAAUCUGAGUUCAAGUUGGGCUUUCGCCUUCUUAACUUCCUCCCUGCAUACCUUAACUACUUCUUUAUAAUCUCCCCAAGUAGCCUGCCCCUUCUUCCAGAGGAUGUAGGCUCUCUUUUUCUCCUUGAGUCUCAACAGUAAUUCCCAGCUCAUCCACACCAGUCAUCUACUCCUACGGCAUUCAGAGACAGCCUGUUCCUGUGCCUUUAAGAUUUCUGUCUUGAGGAGCGUCCAGGCUUCCUGGGCCCUUUUUACCCUUGAGAAGCGACUCCCAAAGGACCCGUGCUACAAGCACACUGAACAGAUCAAAGUCUGCCCUCUAGAAGUUCAAGAAGAUGGUUUUGCUGGUCACUCAUUCGACAUCCUCAAGAAUGGAUAAUUCUACAGUUCCGUGGUCACUCUGCCCAAGAUGGUCUUUAAUCUUCACUUCUCCCACCAGUAUUUCUCUGUUAGCAAAGACCAGGUCCAGCAGGGCACCGCCUACCAGUUGCGUAAGGAAGCUAUCUUCCACAAGUCUAUAAACCUCCUGGACUGCUUCCUCGGUGCUAUAUUACAUUUCCAACAUAUAUCGUCAACAUACAUCAUUCCUUGAUGUUUAACCUCAUUGAUACACACCAACAUCACCUCACAGCGUCACCCCACCACAUCACUGCAGUAUCAUCCCAAUCUCACCACAGUAUCAACCCUGAGCAUCACUCCAGCAUUACUCCUUGAUGUGUAUCACCUCAGUGAUACCCCCGGCAUCACCCAUCAUCUCAAUAACGUCACCCCAGCAACAGCCCCCGCUGUCAAUCCCAGUGAUACUCCAGCACUACAUCCCAACGUAACAGUACAUAGAGGCAAGUACCAGGUUCACCCACUGAGGACACGCAUAUAAUCAAAGAAUAUUAGGAUGUUAUAAUCACAAAAUAAAAAAGAGAGAUAGACAAAGUAAACUAUUAUAACAAAAGAGAAUAAUUGGAAGGCUUACCCUUAUGCUGAGUCCACCUGCAAAUCACCAGUAGGGGCAAUCUCCAGAACAAACCCUUCCCUACUCGUAGCCAGCUCUUAAAUAGGUCUAGGAGAGGUGCAGCCUGGCUCCACCCCUUCCGGCAACACAGGUGAAUUGAAUUGCCUUCACCUGUGCUCCUCUGGCUGACUCACGGCUCGCCUCAGGUGAUCAAUCAGAGGUUCAGGCCAUGACUCAGCAGUUCCCAUACAACACCAAAUCCUGAAAUAUUUUCACGAUGGUCUUUAAUUGCAAAGUGAGCAGGUGACACACAUUUCUCACUGGGAAGCCAUAAGCUGACCCUGGCAGUUUGGUCAACAGCACUUGCUCCAUUCACACCGGUAAUCUCAACCCUUUGCUGUCCAGGCUGCACACACAGCUUCUCUACAUCUUACUGUGUUUUGAAAUCUGUGCUCCCCUACCUAUUAGAAACAUCACCAAUUGUCUCUGAGGACAGAUUGGGAUCAAAAUACGUGGGCUGUCAUAGCUCAUCCACUGAUAAACCUCCCAUUGCUAGACAGGCAGACCCAAUUACCAAAAAAGUCAUUACUUUUUAUUUAUUUAUUUUUCUUUCUUCAUACCUUUAUGGGAACUGUGAGGUCACAGCCUGAAGCAGUGAUUAAGCACCUGUUGAGGGGUGUAGCCCUGCGAGCACAGGUGGAAGCAAUUCUCCUAUGGGACCAGAUAGGGCUGAGCCUGGCUCCACCCCUCCCUGAUCGUAUUUAAGGGCUGGCAGCCACAGAGGCAGCAUCUCUUCGUGGAGACUGCCUUCUUGGGAGCCUUGGGUGAGCCCUUGGAGUGUGGUGAGUGAUUCCUUCUGUGUUUCAAGGCUGUGGGCUUCUCUUUUUGUUAGAUCCUGCCCAUAUAGCCGUCAGCCCUUCAAUGUGGUCAGGAUCUGUAUCUGGAGGUUGUCUACUUUGGUGUGUGGGAUGUGUUUCCUUCUCUACUGUAGGGCCAUUAUCUCCCCUUUUUGGGGUAUUCUGAUCACUUUUAAGGGUUGGCAGCUGUAAGGGUAGUAGCUCUACCUGGGGACUGCUUCCUCUGGAGUGUGGGGUGAGCCCUUGGAGUGGGAUGAGUGGUUCCUUUUUUAUUUCAGGGCUGUGAUCCCUCCUUUCUUGGGGGAUCCUGACAGCAUUUAAAGGUUUGUAGCUGUAAGGAUGUUUUCUCUUCCUGGAGGCUGCCUCUUUGGGUAUGUGGGGUGAAUAUUUCCUUUGUUAUUUUGAGGUUGUGAGCUCUGUGUUUUUUGGGGGAUCCUGACCAUGUUUAAGGGCUGGUAGCUGUAAGGGCAGGGUCUCUGUCUAGAGAUUGCUUCCUUUAGAGUGUGGGGUGAGUGUUUAUCUUUGGAAUGGGGCAAUUGAUUUCCUCUCUGUUGUAGGGUUAUGAACUCCCCAUUUUUUAGAGGAUCCUGACCACGUUUAAGAGCUGGCAGCUGUAAGGGCAUCAUCUGUGCUUGGAGACUGCUUCCUUUGGGAUGUGGAGCAAGCACUUGGAGUGGGCUCGAUGGGGUUUAAGGAUUGCCAGGGCUCCUCUAAUCAGUGGUGUGAGAACUGCAGAGCAGGUAAUGGAACAUCCCAAGCCCCGUGUUGGCGCAUCGCUUGUAUACAGGCAGGUUUGUGAUGACUGUGGGGAGACUCACUUGGGGAUGGAAUAGGCUUAAAAUGGACUCGCUCCACUGGUUCUGUGCUCCCAUCCCUGUAAGCUCCAUGGCUGCUCAUAGAGUGAGGUGCAUCAUCUGGGACCUGAACCCCAGUGGCCAUUUGCUUCAUCCUCGCUCAGUAUAAUACAGUCUGCACUGCUCGAGCAUACUGACCACAGGUGUUCCGUUCCUGUCUUACGGUUCUCUCCAAUAUCUCCCUUAUGGAUUUGUCAGUGAUAAUGGAUCCCAGGGCAUCGUUGUCAGAGCACCUUGUGGCUGACCACCCCAGGGUCCUACAGCUCUUUCUGUUUUAAUGGCAGAUCUGGCUUUGUGUUAAUAAGAAAGAAAGGAUUGUCCUCUUCUGGAUGACUACAGUCAGGGUUUCCCCAGAUAUCUCAUCCCAUUUGUCAGGGAUGCUAUUAAUUUCCCAAACUCCCACCCCUCUUCCUCCCAUUCCCUGACCCACAUUAAGCAGCUCUGCAGCUCUGGGACCCAGCGGUGUGGCAAAAUGUGGCCCCUGGUCUGCUGAAUGCUGGAUCUGGCACAGAGAGGCUCUGUGACUGAUGUGGAGCAUCCCGACUGGAGUACUUGGUGCCAUUUAUGGUGAUCUGGUGUGACUCCCCCACAACAAACAAGGACAUCCACAACUGGAUCAGGUUGCUCAGAGCCUGACCUAGCCUCGCCUUGGAAGGGACAGGGUGACAAUCAUGUGUCUGGGUAACCUGUUCCACUGUGUCACCACCCUCACUGCACAAGAUUUUCUUUAUAUCUAAGCUAAAUUUUUUUCUUGUUCUUUCCUUUAGGUAUUGAAAGGCUGUUCCCAGAUCACCUCGGAACCUUCACUUCUCCAGGCUGAACAGCUCCAGCUCUCUCUCUCUUUAUAGGAAAGGCGUUCCAUCCCUCGGUUCAUAUCUGUGGCCAUUCUCUGGACGUGCUCUAACAGCUCCACGUCUGUCCUGCACUGCAGGCAUCCACAUCCACACACAGCACCUCCAGGUGAGGCCUCCCAGCACAGAGCAGAGGGGCAGGACCACCUCCCUUCGCCUGCUGACCGCACAUCUUUGGAUGGAGCCCAGCAUACGGUUGGCUUUCUGGGCUGGAAGGCGCGUUGCUGAGUGCCACUACUCAGCCUGUUGAGGUCCCUCUGGAUGGCAUCCCGUCCCUCUGGCAUGUCACUGCACCCCACAGCUCGGUGUCAUUAGGGUGCACUCCACCCUACUGUCAAUGUCACUGAUGAAGGGGCAAUCCCAGAUGUUUGUGCAAACUCAGCAAAGAACACCUUGAGAGCAGCCCCACAGAGAAGGAUUUGCGGAUCCCGGUGGAUGAGAAGCUGGACGUCAGCCAGCAGAGCGGGCUUGCAGCCUGGAAGGCCAGCUGUGUUCUGGGCUGCAUUAAAAGAGGAGCGGCCAGCAGGGAGAGUGAGGUGAUCGUCCCCAUCUGCUCUGCUCUUGUGAGGCCCCAUCUGCAGCGCUGCAUCCAGGCCUGGGGCCCCCAGCACAGGAAGGACGUGGAGCUCACGGAGCGGGUCCAGAGAAAGGCACUGAGAUGAUCAGAUGGUUGGAGCAGCUCUCCUACAAGGAAAGGUUGAGGGAAGUGGGCUUGUUCAGCCUGGAGAAGAGAAGGCUUGGGGGGGACCUCAUUGCAGCCUCACAGUACUUGAAGGGAAUGUAUAAGCAGGAAGGGGAAUGGCUGUUUACAAGGGUGGAUCGUGAUAGGACAAGGGGAAUGGUUUUAAUGUGAGACAGGGGAGGUUUAGGUUGGUUAUUAGGAGGAAGCUUUUCACACAGAGGGUGGUGACGCACUGGAACGUGCUUCAGAGUCCCUUCCAGGAGGAUCUGCUCCAUGACUUUUUGCAGCACAGAGGUGAGACUGACAUGUUGGCAGUUCCCAGGGUCACACUUUAUAUCUGCAGUAACAGCUGUGCUGUCACCUUUUUUCUGCUCACCAGGGACUUCACCUGACUGCCUCGACUUCUCAAAUACCACUGAGAGUGGCUCGGUGACUGCAGCACUGAAUUCCCUCAGAGCUCUGGGACUCGUCUCAUCAGGACCCAAAGACUCCUGGAUGCUCGGGUCCUCAGGUGGCAGCAGGCUGCGGCGCUCCUGAGUGCCAUAAGGACUGCAUGGAGAUGCGUGGCUCUUAUGGGAGCAGCAAGGAACCGGAAUCUGCAUUUCCUGGAAUGCCUGGAACCCUGCUUUGCUGGCUGGUAAUUGUCUGCCCAGCAGGUGAAGAUGCCUUCGACGCUUCCAGUCGAUGACUUCCCCCCUGCGACGCCAUCGGCUUUCCAGGCCUCCCACACUCACUGCCAGCUCGGUUCGGUCAACCGUUACCCGAAUCCCCGCUCCGUUCCCUUUCCAUGAUCUUCCCGUCACUCUGCCACAAGCCCCUACCAAGGUCAUCGCAGGCAGCGUGCGGGAUGCGGCGCUCGGUCUCAUUGCAGUUCAUCCCAUCGGCCUCAGCCCAGCGAUCCAACCCACCCGCACCCUUCCUGAGGGCCCUUCUGCUCCCAGGCCAAUCAACGCUUCCUUCUGAUGCCAUCUGCGUUCCUUCCAGGCCAUUUUCAGACUCCUGCCCCUUUGUGGCCAUUUUGAGAGUUGUGCUGAUUUCAGCAUGUGCAUUCAAUUGACUUCAACCAAAUUGGCUUUAGCUUGACAUUCAAUUAAUGUAAACCAAAUUGGCUUUAGCUUUACAUUCGAUUGACUUCAACCAAAUUGGCUUUAGUUUUACAUUCAAUUAAUGUAAGCCAUAUUGGCUUUAGCUUUGCCUUGGUUACGGGGUUGGGUUAGCCUUGCUUUGUUUGUUCCUAGGCAGGGCUACCCCAACCCCGUAACCAAGGGCCAUUGGAGGCGAUUUUGUUCCUUCCUGGCCAGUCUGAGACUCGCGCCCCAUUGCGGCCAUUUUGAGAGUUGUGCUGAUUUCAGCAUCUGCGUUCAAUUUAUCUCAACCAAAUUGGCUUUAGCCUUGCAAUCAUUUUGCAUCAACCAAAUUGGCUUUAGCUUUGCAUUCAAUUGACUUCAACCAAAUUGGCUUUAGCCUUGCAUUCAAUUGACUUCAACCAAAUUGGCUUUAGCUUUACAUUCGAUUGACUUCAUCCAAAUUGGCUUUAGCUUUACAUUCAAUUAAUGUAAGCCAAAUUGGCUUUAGCUUUGCCUUGGUUACGGGGUUGGGCUAGCCUUGCUUUGUUUGUUCCUAGGCAGGGCUACCCCAACCCCGUAACCAAGGGCCGUCGGAGGCGAUUUUGUUCCUUCCCGGCCAGUCUGAGACUCGCGCCCCAUUGCGGCCAUUUUGAGAGUUGUGCUGAUUUCAGCAUCUGCGUUCAAUUUAUCUCAACCAAAUUGGCUUUAGCCUUGCA
Tympanuchus pallidicinctus (lesser prairie-chicken) is the source of this 7152-nucleotide long non-coding RNA. RefSeq lists it as uncharacterized. The transcript is spliced from 4 exons. NCBI's taxonomy places the organism in Eukaryota, Metazoa, Chordata, Aves, Galliformes, Phasianidae. The record is from RefSeq and is a predicted model, not a curated record.